This 143-nucleotide unclassified non-coding RNA is filed under the name uncultured Ascomycota. RNAcentral's name for it is "sequence contains ITS2". The record is from RNAcentral. Lineage: Eukaryota; Fungi; Ascomycota.
CACCAAUCAAGCCUGGCUUGGUGUUGGGCGACGGGACCCCCCCGCGCCCCCAUAUCUCCGGCUGGACGGUCUGAAUCUCAGCGUUGUGGCAACAGAGUCGCUUUGCAGGAGGACCGGACGCGCCGUUAAACCUUUACCACAGG